Gallus gallus (chicken) is the source of this 1671-nucleotide long non-coding RNA. RefSeq lists it as uncharacterized. The transcript is spliced from 2 exons. The record is from RefSeq and is a predicted model, not a curated record. NCBI's taxonomy places the organism in Eukaryota, Metazoa, Chordata, Aves, Galliformes, Phasianidae.
AAGAGAGAAUCCUCAAACCCGUCCCUCCUCACCACCCACCCCUCGUCCUGCCCGAAGUUUCCCAGCGUCUCUUUAUUCCCUCCGCUGAAACCCUGCAACUCAACAUCAGCGACCCAUUUUCACGUGGGGAAAAAAGACCCGAAGGGGAAAGUUUGCACUUCUCGGAGGAGCCCGAGAUACAUUAUUUUGAAGGCUGCCCGGAACGGAAUGACCCGAAGAGCACCCGCGGGUUAGGAUCACUCUGCCCCAUCCCACCGCUCCCACGGCCGUGGAGGGACGCACGACGCUUUCAUCUCCCCUUCCAAAAACCAGAGUGGGGGGAGAGCCCCGACAUUCCCCCACCUCGCAGGACGGGAAGGGAGACGUUUUGUCGCCCGCUGCUGCGGCACAGACAAUGGCCGGGCUGUGCAGGGGACGGGGAAGGCUCGGCGGGGCCGGGGGCGGCCGGGGGACCCCCGCACACCCACCGGGCUGAGCUGCCGGUUGAUAACUAGCCUGAAUACAGCUCGGAGACACUGGGGCUGCGAAAAGUCGGAGCAGUGCCCUCUCUCUGCUUCUCUUUCUCUCUCUCUCCCUCUCUCUCUCCCUUUUUUUUUUUUUUUUUUUUUUUUUUCCUCGUUUCUUUUUAACACUGAGUGCUUUCCCGAUGGAAGCCCGGAGCGAUGUGGGACCGCUUUGGGGCUGCAGCUAUGCUGCCCCGACGGCGCUUCCUCGGGGCGGACGGUAUCGCCCAGCGCCCUUCCAACACCGCCACUCAACAGCUGUGCGAAUCCCUCCCCGAUUCCUACGAACACCACCACCACCAAAUCCAAAUUAAAAACAAAACCACCACCACCACCAAAAAAAAAAAAAAAAAAAAAAAUCAUUGACGAAGCGGCAAACCUUUCCCUCCAUCUAAUUAUUAUUAUUAUUUGUUCCCAUUUCGGAGCCGAUCCAGCGCGCUGCUUUACUUACAAGGAACGCAUUCGCGGAGCCGUGUUGGGAAAGAUCCGGGCAAAAUUAAGAACCGUUUGGCUCCGCUGUGGUCCCCCCCCCUCCACACACACACCGUCCCCUCCCGCCUCGCUCUGCUUUUGGACCUCAAAAAUCCCGAGGAGGUCUCUGAAAUAAAGCCCAGAACUUUCCGUGCCCGCUUUGGAUGGAUCGGUUCGGCUGUGUGCACCCACGGACGUGCGACAAUGUGUGUGCCUCGUCAUUAGUGCGGGUGGAUGCGGACGCGCACAUCUUAUCUACCGGUGUGUGCGUGUAAAAAGAGUCGUAAAAACGCCAUCCGGUCGUGAAAAGGAGAAAAAGACAAAAUAUACAUAUAUCCAAAUUCGGGUUUGAGCUUAGAUUGGGAUCGGAAAUUAAGAAACUAGGACAAAAAGAAAAGAAAGAAAUGCAUCCCGUCCCCGAAUAGCAGAUCGCGUUUCUCUUCUAAUUUCAUCUUUUCCCCUCUUUCUCGACAUUUGCCCGUAUUUAAUCGAAUUACAUUUAAUUCGGGCUCUAAACAAUCCAACUCUUGCCUUUAAGUUGCCUCAUUCCAACCCCCAGAUCGUUUCUUUGAUGUUUUAAAUCGCAUCAAACAGCUUUUCCACGAAAGAAAAAAAAAAAAGAAAGAAAGAAAAAAAAAGUUUAGGACUUGGCAUGCCGGCUACAAAUUUGCAAAUAAAUAAGCAUUUAAGCAUUUAC